Molecule: ribosomal RNA, 253 nt
Filed under: uncultured bacterium
Lineage: Bacteria
Description: partial 16S ribosomal RNA
Rfam family: Bacterial small subunit ribosomal RNA
Source: RNAcentral
UACGGAGGGGGCAAGCGUUGUUCGGAAUUACUGGGCGUAAAGGGCGCGUAGGCGGUUCGCUAAGUUGAAUGUGAAAACUCUGGGCUUAACCCAGAGCCUGCAUUCAAUACUGGCGGGCUAGAGUUCUGGAGGGGAUAGCGGAAUUCCUGGUGUAGCGGUGAAAUGCGUAGAUAUCAGGAGGAACACCGGUGGCGAAGGCGGCUAUCUGGGUAGAUACUGACGCUGAGGAGCGAAAGCGUGGGGAGCGAACAGG